AACGAACGCUGGCGGCGUGCCUAACACAUGCAAGUCGCGCGAGAAAGUGGGGGCAACUCCAUGAGUACAGCGGCGCACGGGUGAGUAACACGUAGGUAACCUGCCUUCGAGACCGGGAUAACCUUCCGAAAGGAGGGCUAAUACCGGAUGAGACCACGGGACUUUGGUCCUGCGGUCAAAGGUGGCCUCUGCAUGCAAGCUAUUACUCGAAGAUGGGCCUGCGCACCAUUAGCUAGUUGGCGAGGUAACGGCUCACCAAGGCUAAGAUGGUUAGCUGGUCUGAGAGGAUGAUCAGCCACACUGGGACUGAGACACGGCCCAGACUCCUACGGGAGCAGCAGUGGGAAUAUUGGACAAGUGGGGAAACCCUGAUCCAGCGACGCCGCGUGGGUGAUGAAGGCC
Molecule: ribosomal RNA, 402 nt
Filed under: uncultured bacterium
Lineage: Bacteria
Description: bacterial SSU rRNA
Rfam family: Bacterial small subunit ribosomal RNA
Source: RNAcentral